Molecule: ribosomal RNA, 460 nt
Filed under: uncultured bacterium
Lineage: Bacteria
Description: partial 16S ribosomal RNA
Rfam family: Bacterial small subunit ribosomal RNA
Source: RNAcentral
CCUACGGGUGGCAGCAGUGAGGAAUAUUGGUCAAUGGACGAGAGUCUGAACCAGCCAAGUAGCGUGAAGGAUGACUGCCCUAUGGGUUGUAAACUUCUUUUAUAUGGGAAUAAAAUGUUCCACGUGUGGGAUUUUGUAUGUACCAUAUGAAUAAGGAUCGGCUAACUCCGUGCCAGCAGCCGCGGUAAUACGGAGGAUCCGAGCGUUAUCCGGAUUUAUUGGGUUUAAAGGGAGCGUAGGUGGAUUGUUAAGUCAGUUGUGAAAGUUUGCGGCUCAACCGUAAGAUUGCAGUUGAAACUGGCAGUCUUGAGUACAGUAGAGGUGGGCGGAAUGCGUGGUGUAGCGGUGAAAUGCUUAGAUAUCACGAAGAACUCCGAUUGCGAAGGCAGUUCACUGGACUGCAACUGACACUGAGGCUCGAAAGUGUGGGUAUCAAACAGGAUUAGAUACCCUUGUAGUC